Molecule: long non-coding RNA, 3405 nt
Filed under: Sorghum bicolor (sorghum)
Lineage: Eukaryota; Viridiplantae; Streptophyta; Magnoliopsida; Poales; Poaceae
Description: long non-coding RNA (SBIC_LNC005669)
Source: RNAcentral
UAUAUAUAUAUAUAUAUAUAUAUAAUCUAUAGGAAUUAACAAUAGUUUCUAGCGUUACAACUGUCCUUACGCUCUUCGUCCUAGUCCCACCAUCAAAAGGUGUGAACACUCUCCGCCCACGCAUUAAUAGACAAACCAAAGGUACAAGAGAUAUAGAGCAUAUUCGCUUGUGUGAAAAACCAACUAAAUAGCUGGCAGAUAAGCUGAAGUCAACGUAACCUUAGAAAGUGGCCAGGGCCACCUGCAUGCCAUGAAAUGUACGUACGCUUCUGCCGGUGCGGCCGUCCGGGGCUUGCCGAGCCGAGUAGUCAAAUCUGCCAACCAUAUGAUGCUAAUUCUGCAAAACUGACGUCGCUAAUUCUUCAAGAGAUGAUGCUGUUUCUGCAAAACUGACCAAACGUGCUGUGAGUGGCAAUGCUGGGUCUUGUUUAGUUCCAAAAAAUUUUGCAAAAUAGAAAUAGUGCCACUUUCGUUUGUAUUUGACAAAUAUUAUCCAAACAUGUACUAACUAGACUCAAAAGAUUCAUCUCGUCAAUUUCGGCCAAACUGUGCAAUUAGUUUUUAUUUUUAUCUAUAUUUAAUACUUCAUGCAUGCGUCUAAAGAUUUGAUGUGACGGGAAAUCUGAAAAAUUUUGCAAAAUUUUCUGAGAACUAAACAUCACCCCCAAAUCCCAAAACAGUUUUACUCUUGUUGCGUAUGAGCAAUUUAUUACCAGCUCAAGCGGUUGGUGCAGGAAGAAGGAGAGCGGGCGAUAAAAUGAACCAGGCAAGUCCUAACCUCCAUAAACAAUUGGGGGCAAUGCCAACCGCGGGCGGUUGUAUUGUGAUGUUUUGGAGGAACAGGCAGGUAUCAGUCACUCUCUAUCAGCUCAGAACUACUAUCCUCCUCGGAGCCACUGCCAUUGCUUUUGUGUUGCACGCUUCAUGGUGGUGCACCCUGCAUGAUUCGAGUAUAAAUAGCCCUACCAGGCUUGCUAGUUGCUACCAGAGCCUUUCACCAGAGAUCAGAGACAGAGAGACAGAGAGAGAUGGUGAUGAUGAUGAUGCGCGGCCCGAUCCUUCUCCUUCUGCUCGUCGGAGUUGGAGUGUGUGUGUUCGCUGAUGCCAAGACCACCACGUAAGUCACAGUGUGCUCUCAUCUUCAAUUGGAUGGUACUUCCCCUAUAUUCUCUCAUUCAUACAUAUAAAUGAAACGAAACCAAACCAAAUUGUAUCCACCCAUUCAUCUAGAUUAGAUGGAGAGUAAUCUCUUUAAAAAAUGUGAUUGUUAUUCAUGUUGUCACCUUAGCAGGGGCAGAUGUAGUGUAGGUGCAUGGGGGUACAACUGUACCCCCAAAAUUUUUAUACAAAUACUUGGUAUGUAUACUUUUAUAUUAUUAUUAUUAUAUUAUAUAUAUAUUUAGAAUAGUUUAGCAAAUAGCAAUCUCGCAAGUUUAAGUGCUUAUCUGAGAGAGUAACUGAGCAAACGACCUGCAACCCUAUAAUAGCACUCUUCUUUCCGAAGCCUCGGAAGCAAAAAAUGAACCAAAGAACAUAGCACAAGUACAAAAUAAAAAUGACAGAAGUUAUAAAAGAUAGAUAUAUAAACUCUUUUUUCCUUCCAAAGCAUGGUAUUACAAUUUUAAUUUGUGAAGUUUGAAUAGUAAUCAUGUUUAACAAUCAGACAUUUUUUUGGAAAAAAAAAUGUGUGUAGAUUACGCGAUAAAUAAGUAGUUUUUACUUUUAUAGAACAUCAUGGCAUUAGGAGCAAUAAUGAGCUAGAUUUUUAGUGAACUACUCGAUAAAGCACAAUAGAUAUCUUCAUCCAUUCUGAAUCUGCAAGAAACUCAUAAUCUUAUCAAGAACAUGGCAAUGAUCAUCUUUGUAUAAUUAUGUAGGAAAGUUGGUGAAUUGUAUCUUUAGAUUCGUACACCUAAUGAUUUUAUCAUCAUUCUGACGUCGUAUAUAUGAUUAUCAAAUUGCAUCGCUUAGUUCGUACCCCUACGAUUAAAAUCCUAGAUCCGCCAUUGCACCUUAGCUGUCUUUUUCCCCUAUAAAGUUUGUCAUGUACUAAUGCAGUAGACUAUUGACAAGUGUUUAUGAUAUGGGCUGCAUCUCUCCGUAUGGGCUGUAAUCACUUAGACGUAUGGGCCUUGGGCAGAUCCAUUUUACUCUGCAUGUAACGAACUCGUAACGUUGGAUUUCAGGACGGAGGUCUGGCAGUGGCAGGACGACAAGGCAACAGUGACCAUGACGUUGGACGUCACUCUCGGCGUUCAACACUUCAAGGCCACCAUGUCCCAGCUCGAGCGCCAAGCGGCGCUCACGACCACCAAGCCCCAUAUCGAAAAGAGACCCGUCCUGGGCAAACAGAAGGCGAGGCCGGACAACUGGGCCCACGUUACCGUCAAGGGUAAUGGCGGGAUCCAGUCAACCUUGGCCAUACGGCUGGAUAAUAUGUAUCUCGUCGGAUUCAAAACCGGCGCCAAUUGGUAUGCCUUCGACGGUAAGGAAAAUCUCAUCCAAGGAUCCACUAAGCUCGGCUUCGGGGAUACAUACAAGUCAUUGACAGGGGGCUCGUACCUCGACCUGACAAGGGUUGAGGUUGGGAAGAAACCCGCUGAGGACGCGCUUGCCACUCUGGCGAGUUACCAUCAUGGAUCCACUCCACAGAAAGAAGUUAAGAAGGCGCUCGUCACCUUUGUGCUCAUGCUUUGCGAAGGCUCUCGCUUGACGCUCGUCCGUCAGGACGUUAUUGCGGCUUGGGAUAAGGGGGGCAAGGUUGGCACAACAGCCGUGAAGCUCACGACGAACUGGCGUAUCGUGUCUUGCGCCUUGCUCCACUGGAGCAAGUCCAAGAAAUGGAAUUCGGCUGAAUCCAAGGAAAUUGAGAAGGUCGGGGAUCCAGAGAUGAAGACCCCCGCGGCGGCGGCCGCCAAUAUCUACCUUAUACUACAGGCAGAGGAGUGCUCACCGGAUGCCACCCCCACUGAAAAAGAGCCCCAAGUGUACUAGGCCUAACAAUAAAACAUCUACGGCCUCCUAUAGUCUUAUAUAUACAGUGAAAUUCCAUUCCUAAGGCACUGCAGUGAAAAAGCAUAUGUACAACUGAUUGAUUCAAGUUUUAGCGGAAUGAGAUUUGGGUGUGCUUCCUGGUGCUUGGGUUCUCUGUUUUUAUUUUCUUUUUCUUUUUUUUGCUGAAGAAAAAACCAAAUCCAAAACCCUAGCAUAAGAAAUUACACAAAUUCCAUCAGAAUCCCCAACCCUAUGAUUAAGAAAAGGGCCUAGUGCUCAGCUCACCUAAGACGACGUCGUUGGGCUACUGCGUGAGCUCGCCGACGGAAGCAAAAGGGAGCCGUGCCGCCGCAUUGCCUGUCCAAGCGCGGUCCCCGCCCUAAGGGCGCCGGCGAACAGCGGCCAUGCGCG